UACGGGGGGGGCAAGCGUUGUUCGGAAUUACUGGGCGUAAAGGGUUUGUAGGUGGCUCGCUAAGUCAGACGUGAAAUCCCUCAGCUUAACUGGGGAACUGCGUCUGAGACUGGCGAGCUUGAGUGCAGGAGAGGAACGCGGAAUUCCAGGUGUAGCGGUGAAAUGCGUAGAUAUCUGGAGGAACACCGGUGGCGAAGGCGGCAUCCUGGACCAACACUGACACUGAGGAGCGAAAGCCAGGGGAGCAAACGGG
This 253-nucleotide ribosomal RNA is filed under the name uncultured bacterium. RNAcentral describes it as "partial 16S ribosomal RNA". It matches the Rfam family "Bacterial small subunit ribosomal RNA", at positions 524 to 776 of the family's 1533-position model. The record is from RNAcentral.